Molecule: ribosomal RNA, 429 nt
Filed under: Actinomycetes bacterium
Lineage: Bacteria; Bacillati; Actinomycetota; Actinomycetes
Also listed under: 1 other name
Description: Actinobacteria bacterium partial 16S ribosomal RNA
Rfam family: Bacterial small subunit ribosomal RNA
Source: RNAcentral
UAGGGAAUCUUCCGCAAUGGGCGAAAGCCUGACGGAGCAACGCCGCGUGAGUGAUGAAGGUCUUCGGAUCGUAAAACUCUGUUAUUAGGGAAGAACAAAUGUGUAAGUAACUAUGCACGUCUUGACGGUACCUAAUCAGAAAGCCACGGCUAACUACGUGCCAGCAGCCGCGGUAAUACGUAGGUGGCAAGCGUUAUCCGGAAUUAUUGGGCGUAAAGCGCGCGUAGGCGGUUUUUUAAGUCUGAUGUGAAAGCCCACGGCUCAACCGUGGAGGGUCAUUGGAAACUGGAAACCUUGAGUGCAGAAGAGGAAAGUGGAAUUCCAUGUGUAGCGGUGAAAUGCGCAGAGAUAUGGAGGAACACCAGUGGCGAAGGCGACUUUCUGGUCUGUAACUGACGCUGAUGUGCGAAAGCGUGGGGAUCAAACAGG